This 458-nucleotide long non-coding RNA is filed under the name Mus spicilegus (steppe mouse). Its description in RNAcentral is "lncRNA (ENSMSIG00000017261.1)". The record is from RNAcentral. Lineage: Eukaryota; Metazoa; Chordata; Mammalia; Rodentia; Muridae.
CUUUAUCCUAGACACACUGUGGGUAUGCCAAAAUUACUACCAAGACCCCAAAUGGAGGCUUCACACCCCAAUCAGGCUCACAGUACCAGUGCCCAGGAAAGAAUAACAUAGGUCAGCAUGUGAGCGUAUAUCAAGCCAGGCCUGAGAAGAUGCAGCUGGUCGGACUCACCCCAGGAACUGGAUGGUCAGACUGGACCCUCCUCCUCCUCCCUAAAUUGGCUAUUCACCUCUGCUCUCGACAUCCACCUCCCAUGUGCUUGCUUCCUGCUCGUUUUGGGACACCGACUCUCUGGCUCCACAGCUGUCCAUAAGAAGCCGUCCCCAUUCCAGUCUCUUGGGAAAGCCAAUGGCUGUGGCUGCUUUCUCUAUUUCUCAGUGGAAACCAGGCAGCUUUUCUUCAAAGAAAUGAUGCCUGGGGUGGCUCCUGGGUGUCCCCACAUAGCACCAGCUGUUCCUGG